GCCAGACUCCUACGGGAGGCAGCAGUGGGGAAUAUUGCACAAUGGGGGAAACCCUGAUGCAGCGACGCCGCGUGAGUGAAGAAGUAUUUCGGUAUGUAAAGCUCUAUCAGCAGGGAAGAAGAAGGACGGUACCUGAGUAAGAAGCCCCGGCUAACUACGUGCCAGCAGCCGCGGUAAUACGUAGGGGGCAAGCGUUAUCCGGAUUUACUGGGUGUAAAGGGGGCGCAGACGGCGAUGCAAGCCAGGAGUGAAAGCCCGGGGCCCAACCCCGGGACUGCUCUUGGAACUGCGUGGCUGGAGUGCAGGAGGGGCAGGCGGAAUUCCUGGUGUAGCGGUGAAAUGCGUAGAUAUCAGGAGGAACACCGGUGGCGAAGGCGGCCUGCUGGACUGCAACUGACGUUGAGGCGCGAAAGCGUGGGGAGCAAACAGGAUUAGAUACCCCCGUAA
Molecule: ribosomal RNA, 447 nt
Filed under: uncultured bacterium
Lineage: Bacteria
Description: bacterial SSU rRNA
Rfam family: Bacterial small subunit ribosomal RNA
Source: RNAcentral